This 297-nucleotide long non-coding RNA is filed under the name Vulpes vulpes (red fox). RNAcentral describes it as "lncRNA (ENSVVUG00000017247.1)". The record is from RNAcentral. Lineage: Eukaryota; Metazoa; Chordata; Mammalia; Carnivora; Canidae.
GUGUCAAGUACCCAGCUCGGGAUUUCAGCGUAUGUGAUUUUUCAAAUCGCUCUUGUUGAUUUAAGAAGAGAGAACAAAGCCUAGUGAAACCCAUGGCAGGCAGUUCAAAGGAAGAGCACCAUUCGGCUAAGGAUAUUUUCCAUAUUUGAGGAAGCCUUCUCCACAUUUGAGCAUGGUCCAUGGAUCAGUGAAGAUAUUAGUUCAAAGGGACUAGUCAGGAAGAGAGUUCAGCAUGCUAUACAUAGCACCGAGAUGAAAGUAGACAAGCCUGCUUAAAAUGAAAUAUGCCACCGAGUG